ACGAACGCUGGCGGCGUGCCUAACACAUGCAAGUCGAACGAGAAAGGGGCUUCGGCUCCGAGUAAAGUGGCGCACGGGUGAGUAACACGUGGGUAACCUGCCUCUAAGAUUGGGAUAACUCGUCGAAAGAUGAGCUAAUACCGAAUAAGACCACAGUUCCCGCGGGAACAGGGGUCAAAGGUAGCCUCUGCUUGCAAGCUAUCACUUAGAGAUGGGCCUGCGCACCAUUAGCUAGUUGGUAGGGUAACGGCCUACCAAGGCAAAGAUGGUUAGCUGGUCUGAGAGGAUGAUCAGCCACACUGGAACUGAGACACGGUCCAGACUCCUACGGGAGGCAGCAGUGGGGAAUAUUGCGCAAUGGGCGAAAGCUUGACGCAGCAACGCCGCGUGAGUGAUGAAGGCCUUCGGGUCGUAAAGCUCUGUCGGGAGGAACGAAUGCUCCUGAGGCUAACAGCCUCGGGAGGUGACGGUACCUUCAAAGGAAGCACCGGCUAACUCUGUG
This 502-nucleotide ribosomal RNA is filed under the name uncultured bacterium. RNAcentral's name for it is "partial 16S ribosomal RNA". It matches the Rfam family "Bacterial small subunit ribosomal RNA", at positions 29 to 507 of the family's 1533-position model. The record is from RNAcentral.